UACAGAGGGUGCAAGCGUUAGUCGGAAUUACUGGGCGUAAAGCGCUCGUAGGUGGGUAUCUAAGUCGGAUGUGAAAUCCCCGGGCUUAACCUGGGAACUGCAUUCGAGACUGGAUGCCUAGAGUAUGGUAGAGGAAAGUGGAAUUCCCGGUGUAGCGGUGAAGUGCGUAGAUAUCGGGAAAAACACCAGUGGCGAAGGCGGCUUUCUGGACCAAUACUGACACUGAGGAGCGAAAGCGUGGGGAGCAAAC
Molecule: ribosomal RNA, 250 nt
Filed under: uncultured bacterium
Lineage: Bacteria
Description: partial 16S ribosomal RNA
Rfam family: Bacterial small subunit ribosomal RNA
Source: RNAcentral